This 372-nucleotide unclassified non-coding RNA is filed under the name soil metagenome. Its description in RNAcentral is "partial contains 5.8S ribosomal RNA, internal transcribed spacer 2, and large subunit ribosomal RNA". The stretch from base 1 to 120 matches the Rfam family "5.8S ribosomal RNA", at positions 35 to 154 of the family's 154-position model. The record is from RNAcentral.
GAUGAAGAACGUAGCGAAAUGCGAUAAGUAAUGCGAAUUGCAGAAUCCGUGAGUCAUCGAAUCUUUGAACGCACAUUGCGCCCCUUGGUUAUUCCGAAGGGCAUGCCUGUUCGAGCGUCAUUAUCACCCCUCAAGCCCUCGGCUUGGUGUUGGACGGUUUGGUGGAGGCCCCCUCGGGGGUUCCUGCCCCUCCCAAAGACAAUGACGGCGGCCUCGUUGGACCCCCGGUACACUGAGUUCUUCACGGGACACGUAUCGGACACAUGGGUUUACGGGACACGGUCUGCCUCCCCUCAGGGAGAAUCUUUCUAAGGUUGACCUCGGAUCAGGUAGGGAUACCCGCUGAACUUAAGCAUAUCAAUAAGCGGAGGA